CGGUUAAGUUAGAAAGGGCGCACGGUGGAUGCCUUGGCACUAGGAGCCGAUGAAGGACGGGACGAACACCGAUAUGCUUCGGGGAGCUGUAAGCAAGCUUUGAUCCGGAGAUUUCCGAAUGGGGAAACCCACCACUCGUAAUGGAGUGGUAUCCAUAUCUGAAUACAUAGGAUAUGAGAAGGCAGACCCGGGGAACUGAAACAUCUAAGUACCCGGAGGAAGAGAAAGCAAAUGCGAUUCCCUGAGUAGCGGCGAGCGAAACGGGACCAGCCCAAACCAAGAGGCUUGCCUCUUGGGGUUGUAGGACACUCUGUACGGAGUUACAAAGGAACGAGGUAGAUGAAGAGGUCUGGAAAGGCCCGCCAUAGAAGGUAACAGCCCUGUAGUCAAAACUUCGUUCUCUCCUGAGUGGAUCCUGAGUACGGCGGAACACGUGAAAUUCCGUCGGAAUCCGGGAGGACCAUCUCCCAAGGCUAAAUACUCCCUAGUGACCGAUAGUGAACCAGUACCGUGAGGGAAAGGUGAAAAGCACCCCGGAAGGGGAGUGAAAGAGAUCCUGAAACCGUGUGCCUACAAGUAGUCAGAGCCCGUUAACGGGUGAUGGCGUGCCUUUUGUAGAAUGAACCGGCGAGUUACGAUCCCGUGCAAGGUUAAGCAGAAGAUGCGGAGCCGCAGCGAAAGCGAGUCUGAAUAGGGCGAAUUGAGUACGUGGUCGUAGACCCGAAACCAGGUGAUCUACCCAUGUCCAGGGUGAAGUUCAGGUAACACUGAAUGGAGGCCCGAACCCACGCACGUUGAAAAGUGCGGGGAUGAGGUGUGGGUAGGGGUGAAAUGCCAAUCGAACCUGGAGAUAGCUGGUUCUCUCCGAAAUAGCUUUAGGGCUAGCCUCAAGGUAAGAGUCUCGGAGGUAGAGCACUGAUUGGACUAGGGGCCCCUACCGGGUUACCGAAUUCAGUCAAACUCCGAAUGCCGAUGACUUAUCCUUGGGAGUCAGACUGCGAGUGAUAAGAUCCGUAGUCGAAAGGGAAACAGCCCAGACCGCCAGCUAAGGUCCCAAAGUAUACGUUAAGUGGAAAAGGAUGUGGAGUUGCUUAGACAACCAGGAUGUUGGCUUAGAAGCAGCCACCAUUUAAAGAGUGCGUAAUAGCUCACUGGUCGAGUGACUCUGCGCCGAAAAUGUACCGGGGCUAAACGUAUCACCGAAGCUGCGGACUGUUCUUCGAACAGUGGUAGGAGAGCGUUCUAAGGGCUGUGAAGCAAGACCGGAAGGACUUGUGGAGCGCUUAGAAGUGAGAAUGCCGGUAUGAGUAGCGAAAGAGGGGUGAGAAUCCCCUCCACCGAAUGCCUAAGGUUUCCUGAGGAAGGCUCGUCCGCUCAGGGUUAGUCGGGACCUAAGCCGAGGCCGAAAGGCGUAGGCGAUGGAUAACAGGUUGAUAUUCCUGUACCACCUCCUCACCAUUUGAGCAAUGGGGGGACGCAGGAGGAUAGGGUAAGCGCGGUAUUGGAUAUCCGCGUCCAAGCAGUUAGGCUGGGAAAUAGGCAAAUCCGUUUCCCGUGAAGGCUGAGCUGUGAUGGCGAGCGAAUUAUAGUAGCGAAGUUCCUGAUUCCACACUGCCAAGAAAAGCCUCUAGCGAGGUGAGAGGUGCCCGUACCGCAAACCGACACAGGUAGGCGAGGAGAGAAUCCUAAGGUGAUCGAGAGAACUCUCGUUAAGGAACUCGGCAAAAUGACCCCGUAACUUCGGGAGAAGGGGUGCUCUGUUAGGGUGCAAGCCCGAGAGAGCCGCAGUGAAUAGGCCCAGGCGACUGUUUAGCAAAAACACAGGUCUCUGCGAAGCCGUAAGGCGAAGUAUAGGGGCUGACGCCUGCCCGGUGCUGGAAGGUUAAGAGGAGCGCUUAGCGUAAGCGAAGGUGCGAAUUGAAGCCCCAGUAAACGGCGGCCGUAACUAUAACGGUCCUAAGGUAGCGAA
RNAcentral lists this ribosomal RNA (1969 nucleotides) under Bacteroides uniformis. Its description in RNAcentral is "partial 23S ribosomal RNA". It matches the Rfam family "Bacterial large subunit ribosomal RNA", at positions 1 to 1963 of the family's 2925-position model. The record is from RNAcentral. Lineage: Bacteria; Pseudomonadati; Bacteroidota; Bacteroidia; Bacteroidales; Bacteroidaceae.